CCUACGGGGGGCUGCAGUGAGGAAUAUUGGUCAAUGGGCGCAAGCCUGAACCAGCCAAGUCGCGUGAGGGAUGACGGUCCUAUGGAUUGUAAACCUCUUUUGUCGGGGAGCAAGGCCCGCCACGUGUGGCGGGAAGGAGAGUACCCGAAGAAAAAGCAUCGGCUAACUCCGUGCCAGCAGCCGCGGUAAUACGGAGGAUGCGAGCGUUAUCCGGAUUUAUUGGGUUUAAAGGGUGCGUAGGCGGAAGGUUAAGUCAGCGGUAAAAUGUCGGGGCUCAACACCGGCCUGCCGUUGAAACUGGUCUUCUUGAGUGAGCGAGAAGUAUGCGGAAUGCGUGGUGUAGCGGUGAAAUGCAUAGAUAUCACGCAGAACUCCGAUUGCGAAGGCAGCAUACCGGCGCUCAACUGACGCUGAGGCACGAAAGCGUGGGGAUCGAACAGGAUUAGAUACCCCAGUAGUC
This 460-nucleotide ribosomal RNA is filed under the name uncultured bacterium. RNAcentral's name for it is "partial 16S ribosomal RNA". It matches the Rfam family "Bacterial small subunit ribosomal RNA", at positions 338 to 795 of the family's 1533-position model. The record is from RNAcentral.